AGAGUUUGAUCCUGGCUCAGAACGAACGCUGGCGGCAUGCCUAACACAUGCAAGUCGAACGCCUGUAGCAAUACAGGAGUGGCGCACGGGUGAGUAACGCGUGGGAACCUGCCUAGUGGUAAGGAAUAACCGCGGGAAACUGCGGCUAAUACCUUAUGAGCCCUACGGGGGAAAGAUUUAUCGCCAUUAGAGGGGCCCGCGUCCGAUUAGCUAGUUGGUGAGGUAACGGCUCACCAAGGCUCCGAUCGGUAGCUGGUCUGAGAGGAUGAUCAGCCACACUGGGACUGAGACACGGCCCAGACUCCUACGGGAGGCAGCAGUGGGGAGUAUUGGACAAUGGGGGCAACCCUGAUCCAGCAAUGCCGCGUGAGUGAUGAAGGCCUUAGGGUUGUAAAGCUCUUUCGACGGGGAAGAUGAUGACGGUACCCGUAGAAGAAGCCCCGGCUAACUUCGUGCCAGCAGCCGCGGUAAUACA
This 475-nucleotide ribosomal RNA is filed under the name uncultured Blastochloris sp. RNAcentral describes it as "bacterial SSU rRNA". It matches the Rfam family "Bacterial small subunit ribosomal RNA", at positions 8 to 527 of the family's 1533-position model. Lineage: Bacteria; Pseudomonadati; Pseudomonadota; Alphaproteobacteria; Hyphomicrobiales; Blastochloridaceae. The record is from RNAcentral.